AUUUCAAAUAGUCGUGUUCGGAAAAUUAAGACAUCGUGUUUUACAAGGUAAUCUAUCUGAUCAAGACUGAGGUAGAGAGACAAUGAUACGACAGGGUUAGAAAGUCGGUGUUGUACUGCGCACGUGGAGGACAGAAUCGCUUCACACAAAGCGACUGGCAGCUGUUCUGACCAGGCAAUGCCGAGUAAGGCAACCUAAACACACAGCGUAGGCAGGCCUGCAUGAAGAUACACGUUUCAACCACAGACGCAAUCUUUUAACUGAGAGCAGGCCUUCUUAAAUUACAGAACUACGUUACUGUAUAUUUGUGACGAACACUAGACCUACAGCUGACAAAAUACGAAGAGUCACUACCGUCUUCGCAGAACCCGCCACUGGGCCUGUCCAGCGUCCAGCAACAGAUUCAACAUUAACGAUAAGGAAUUAAAUUGUUCCACCAAGAAAAAUAUGGAUUUGAAAUUGAACAUAGUUUGGUGCAUUUUCGGGGUAUACUUUAUUUUAUUUUGAGGUAGUUCAUUUGUUACGAUGUACUUUCUUUCUAAAAAAAACGGCUACCAAAAAAUUUGAGUAUCUCUUAAUAAUAUUAUCAGACACGUCUUAUGUGUUACGUGCGAAGAAUUUAGCAAAAUCAUCAGCGAACUUACCAGUCUACUUGUGUAUUAAUUACUUUGUUUUAUCAUCUGUUGUGCACUUCGGCCAUUACAUCGCCGCUACAGGCUACUAGCUGCCCUUGUUUAACCGUGAAGGACAACUCUACUAUGCUUGCCUGCCUUUUCUUCCAAAGCAGCUAGACGGGUCCAUCCGAGCCAAGAACCAAAAGGGCUCAGAAGACCGAGUCACAGAGGUACAACAGCUCCAUCAGUACGAUUUGCCCUGCCCAGAUGCCAAAGAUGGCAACUUCUUCGUUAGAAACCGGCUGGAAGGGCUUUAAACACUCUUGACGGAGAUUAAAUU
Molecule: long non-coding RNA, 954 nt
Organism: Zootermopsis nevadensis
Lineage: Eukaryota; Metazoa; Arthropoda; Insecta; Blattodea; Termopsidae
Source: RefSeq, a predicted model, not a curated record